RNAcentral lists this ribosomal RNA (301 nucleotides) under uncultured bacterium. RNAcentral describes it as "partial 16S ribosomal RNA". It matches the Rfam family "Bacterial small subunit ribosomal RNA", at positions 509 to 809 of the family's 1533-position model. The record is from RNAcentral.
CAGCAGCCACGGGAAUACGUAGGUGGCAAGCGUUGUCCGGAAUUAUUGGGCGUAAAGGGCUCGCAGGCGGUUUCUUAAGUCUGAUGUGAAAGCCCCCGGCUCAACCGGGGAGGGUCAUUGGAAACUGGGAAACUUGAGUGCAGAAGAGGAGAGUGGAAUUCCACGUGUAGCGGUGAAAUGCGUAGAGAUGUGGAGGAACACCAGUGGCGAAGGCGACUCUCUGGUCUGUAACUGACGCUGAGGAGCGAGAGCGUGGGGAGCGAACAGGAUUAGAUACCCCGGUAGUCCCUGUCUCUUAUAA